GAGCCGCCGCCGCCCUCCCUCGCUGAGAGCCGCCGCCGCCGCCGCCCCCGCCCCCCUUUUCCCUCGCUGAGAGCCUGAUAGCCGCCUCCUCUCGGUGUCGUCGCCUCUUCAACGACCGGCCGGCGGCUCUUCGCGUCCUUCUCCCCCGGACGGCAACCUCCGCGGCUCCGGUCACCGACUCACAGUCACCGGUUUUGAGAGUUAGAAGAUGCAAGGAUGUUCUACAGUUUUCUAUUAUGAAAGUGGCUUCAAGAAUUAUGAACUUUUAUGAACUUUUGAAUGCACAAAGAUGCAUGUUUGUUAUAAUGUUAAUGGGACAAUGUAAUUUGUAUUUUGUCUAAGUUUGCAGUUUUUAUUAUUGGGUUGUAAUUUUCAGCUGGACAACAGUGUUUCAUACAUUUUAUUUUCUUUCUAUUGGCUUGAAGCUGCAAUUUUUUUCUUUUUUAAUGUUUGUAGAUAUAUCCAAAUUCCAAAGUUUGAAACCACCACCAACACUAUCUGUUUAAAAUAGGCUAGUUAUAUCCUUAACAUUAACCAAUUAACCAAUUUAGAGAGCCAUUAAGCUGUUGGGCCAUUUUUGCCCAUUUCUAGAUUCCAAA
Phoenix dactylifera (date palm) is the source of this 599-nucleotide long non-coding RNA. RefSeq lists it as uncharacterized. The record is from RefSeq and is a predicted model, not a curated record. Lineage: Eukaryota; Viridiplantae; Streptophyta; Magnoliopsida; Arecales; Arecaceae.